RNAcentral lists this ribosomal RNA (512 nucleotides) under uncultured bacterium. RNAcentral describes it as "bacterial SSU rRNA". It matches the Rfam family "Bacterial small subunit ribosomal RNA", at positions 32 to 518 of the family's 1533-position model. The record is from RNAcentral.
AACGCUGGCGGCGUGCCUAAUACAUGCAAGUCGAACGGUCUUUCUAUGGAAGCUUGCUUCACUGAGAAGAUAGUGGCGAACGGGUGAGUAACACGUGGGUAACCUGCCCAUAAGAGGGGGAUAACAUCCGGAAACGGGUGCUAAUACCGCAUAGUUUUCUUGAUCGCAUGAUCGGGAAAGGAAAGACGGCCUUUGUGCUGUCGCUUAUGGAUGGACCCGCGGCGUAUUAGUUAGUUGGUGAGGUAACGGCUCACCAAGACGAUGAUACGUAGCCGACCUGAGAGGGUGAUCGGCCACAUUGGGACUGAGACACGGCCCAAACUCCUACGGGAGGCAGCAGUAGGGAAUCUUCCGCAAUGGACGAAAGUCUGACGGAGCAACGCCGCGUGAGUGAAAGAAGGUUUUCGGAUCGUAAAACUCUGUUGUCAGAGAAGAACAAGUUGGAGAGUAACUGCUCCAGCCUUGACGGUAUCUGACCAGAAAGCCACGGCUAACUACGUGCCAGCCGCCGC